ACGGGAGGCAGCAGUGGGGAAUAUUGCACAAUGGGGGAAACCCUGAUGCAGCGACGCCGCGUGAGUGAAGAAGUUAUUCGUAAUGUAAAGCUCUAUCAGCAGGGAAGAAAAUGACGGUACCUGACUAAGAAGCCCCGGCUAACUACGUGCCAGCAGCCGCGGUAAUACGUAGGGGGCAAGCGUUAUCCGGAUUUACUGGGUGUAAAGGGAGCGUAGACGGCAUAGCAAGUCUGAAGUGAAAACCCAAGGCUCAACCAUGGGAUUGCUUUGGAAACUGUUAAGCUAGAGUGCAGGAGGGGCAGGCGGAAUUCCUAGUGUAGCGGUGAAAUGCGUAGAUAUUAGGAGGAACACCGGUGGCGAAGGCGGCCUGCUGGACUGUAACUGACGUUGAGGCUCGAAAGCGUGGGGAGCAAACAGGAUUAGAUACCCUGGUA
This 434-nucleotide ribosomal RNA is filed under the name uncultured Lachnospiraceae bacterium. RNAcentral's name for it is "partial 16S ribosomal RNA". It matches the Rfam family "Bacterial small subunit ribosomal RNA", at positions 341 to 792 of the family's 1533-position model. The record is from RNAcentral. Lineage: Bacteria; Bacillati; Bacillota; Clostridia; Lachnospirales; Lachnospiraceae.